This 293-nucleotide long non-coding RNA is filed under the name Gallus gallus (chicken). The record is from RNAcentral. Lineage: Eukaryota; Metazoa; Chordata; Aves; Galliformes; Phasianidae.
GUCCCUAUGUGUCCUUAUGUAUCUCUAUGGGGUCCCAAUGGCUCUCUAUGUGUCCCUAUGGGGUCGCUAUGGGAUUUGGGGUCUGUAUGGGAUUUGGGGUCGCUAUGGGGUCUGUGUGUCCCGCAGUGGGGCUGCUGGAUCACCCCUGGUUCCACGGCACGCUGUGUCUAUGGGGUCCCUAUGGGUCCCUAUGAGUCCCUAUGGGGUCCCAAUGGGAUUUGGGGUCCCUAUGGGUCCCAAUGUGUCCCUAUGAGUCCCUAUGGGGUCCCUAUGGGAUUUGGGGUCCCUAUGGG